RNAcentral lists this ribosomal RNA (305 nucleotides) under uncultured bacterium. RNAcentral describes it as "bacterial SSU rRNA". It matches the Rfam family "Bacterial small subunit ribosomal RNA", at positions 333 to 654 of the family's 1533-position model. The record is from RNAcentral.
CCCGCCCUACGGGGGGCAGCAGUGGGGGAUAUUGCACAAUGGGGGGAACCCUGAUGCAGCGACGCCGCGUGGGUGAAGGAGUGCUUCGGCAUGUAAAGCCCUCUCGGCAGGGAAGAAGCAAGACGGUACCUGACUAAGAAGCCCCGGCUAAAUACGUGCCAGCAGCCGCGGUAAUACGUAUGGAGCAAGCGUUAUCCGGAUUUACUGGGCGUAAAGGGAGCGUAGGCGGCCUGCCAAGUCUGAUGUGAAAUACCGGGGCUCAACCCCGGGGCUGCAUUGGAAACUGGCAGGCUGGAGUGCCGGGG